AUUGAACGCUGGCGGCAGGCUUAACACAUGCAAGUCGAGCGGGGAAAGGUAGCUUGCUACCUGACCUAGCGGCGGACGGGUGAGUAAUGCUUAGGAAUCUGCCUAUUAGUGGGGGACAACAUUCCGAAAGGAAUGCUAAUACCGCAUACGCCCUACGGGGAAAGCAGGGGAUCUUCGGACCUUGUGCUAAUAGAUGAGCCUAAGUCAGAUUAGCUAGUUGGUGGGGUAAAGGCCUACCAAGGCGACGAUCUGUAGCGGGUCUGAGAGGAUGAUCCGCCACACUGGGACUGAGACACGGCCCAGACUCCUACGGGAGGCAGCAGUGGGGGAAUAUUGGACAAUGGGCGCAAGCCUGAUCCAGCCAUGCCGCGUGUGUGAAGAAGGCCUUUUGGUUGUAAAGCACUUUAAGCGAGGAGGAGGCUACUUGGAUUAAUACUCUAGGAUAGUGGACGUUACUCGCAGAAUAAGCACCGGCU
RNAcentral lists this ribosomal RNA (476 nucleotides) under uncultured bacterium. Its description in RNAcentral is "bacterial SSU rRNA". It matches the Rfam family "Bacterial small subunit ribosomal RNA", at positions 30 to 498 of the family's 1533-position model. The record is from RNAcentral.